Plectropomus leopardus (leopard coralgrouper) is the source of this 260-nucleotide non-coding RNA. NCBI's taxonomy places the organism in Eukaryota, Metazoa, Chordata, Actinopteri, Perciformes, Serranidae. The record is from RefSeq and is a predicted model, not a curated record.
ACUUUAAAUACUCCGUGGAGCGCCCAUGCAAUGCGCGCGGUCACAGAAAGUCUGAAUUCAUAUUUCAGGUAGGCCUACACCUACCCACAUGCAGCACUGAGCGUUUGUAAAGUGGCGGAUGGGGUGUCCGAGUUGAAGAUGCACGUUGGGCGUUUGGAGCUGCGGGAGACGGGGGACACACACCUGUACAGGUAGGAGCUGCUGCAUGUUUUUAUUGAGCGUGGUAUUCCCGCAUAUUCUGCCUUAAAAUCACCAUAUUC